CUCUGUUGGUUUUUCAUUCAUGUUCCUAUAGUAUCAAACAAUUUUGGUUAGUUUUUGCAUACUUUUAAGAUUCUGCUUGGAUUUAUUUAUCAAAAAAAGAAAGAUUCUGUUUAGAUUUUACUGAGUUGUUAGGGGUUUAAAGAAUAAACAGGACAAGCAAUUUAUCCUGUGAGUUCUAUAUAUUGAAUCAAGAGUUUGUUUCCAAAGAGAGAGAUAGAGAGAGAGAGUUAGAGUUGCAGCUUCAGUACUGCAUUGUGAAAAAUGUGUGUUAAUUUUCUUGUGCUAAUUUGUUGUCUUCUUCUUCACUGUUCUUCCAUAUGCGAACGUUUUUUCAGUUUGUUUUAGUGUCCUAUUUUAUCUAUUUGUUGUAUCUAUUCUUGCAUACAAUAGCUUGUUGUCUUUUGACUAUUUUUCUUUGGCUGGGUGUAAUUGAGGAGUUUUUGCUUAUUUAUUAUUGUGUGCCCCUUGUGAGAAUCUUAGGUCUGUUUCAUUUUGAAACCCUGUAAGUGUGUUAGGGAUUAGAUAGGUAGAAUUGUUGAAGGUGCAUAUUUCUUUUUCCCAGGGUAGGACUACUAUGGUUCAUGUUUGUUUGUAUCAUAUAUUCUGUCUUACCUAUCUUUGCUAAAGUUGACCAGAGUUUUCUUUUGUGGUUGAGAGGAGCAAUUAUGUGUUUGUCCUAGUAGGUGGGGGUUGUGUUGAGUAAUUUGGUCCUUAAGACUGUUGUUUUGGUAGGUAAGAACUAUGGACAUUUCAUUCGGAACCUCAUUCUUUUUUAUAUAAAGUUAUUCGAAGCAGGUUAGGUAUGCCACUGAGGUCGUGAACUUAUGUACA
Molecule: long non-coding RNA, 831 nt
Filed under: Panax ginseng (ginseng)
Lineage: Eukaryota; Viridiplantae; Streptophyta; Magnoliopsida; Apiales; Araliaceae
Description: long non-coding RNA (PGIN_LNC017503)
Source: RNAcentral